Molecule: ribosomal RNA, 408 nt
Filed under: uncultured bacterium
Lineage: Bacteria
Description: partial 16S ribosomal RNA
Rfam family: Bacterial small subunit ribosomal RNA
Source: RNAcentral
GGCGGACGGGUGAGUAACGCGUUGGUGACCUGCCCCGAAGAAGGGGAUAACAGUUCGAAAGGACUGCUAAUACCCUAUGUUAUCAGUUGGAUUAGAUGCCUUCUGAUUAAAGGAGUAAUCCGCUUUGGGAGGAACCUGCGUCCCAUCAGCUAGUUGGUAGGGUAACGGCCUACCAAGGCAAUGACGGGUAGGGGACCUGAGAGGGUGGCCCCCCACAAUGGCACUGAAACACGGGCCAUACACCUACGGGUGGCAGCAGUAGGGAAUAUUGGACAAUGGGCGAAAGCCUGAUCCAGCAACACCGCGUGCACGAUGACGGCCUUCGGGUUGUAAAGUGCUUUUAGAGGAGAUGAGAAAGGACAGUAUCCUCUGAAUAAGCCUCGGCGAACUACGUGCCAGCGGCCGCGG